GGGAGCGUGGUGGAACAGGUAGACACAUUGGACUUAAAAUCCAAUGGCUUAACGGCCGUGCGGGUUCGAGUCCCGCCGCUCCCACCA
This 87-nucleotide transfer RNA is filed under the name Alphaproteobacteria bacterium. RNAcentral's name for it is "tRNA-Leu". It matches the Rfam family "tRNA". From Rfam's summary of the family: Transfer RNA (tRNA) molecules are approximately 80 nucleotides in length. Their secondary structure includes four short double-helical elements and three loops (D, anti-codon, and T loops). The record is from RNAcentral. Lineage: Bacteria; Pseudomonadati; Pseudomonadota; Alphaproteobacteria. RNAcentral also lists the same sequence under 1 other name.